CCAAGAUUUGGUAGAAGAUACCUAACAAAGGAUCAAGCAACCAGAGAAACAGGGCUCUCAGUUUUGGUGUAUCUCUGAACAAAACCUCUACUGCUUCUCAGCUGGCCAUGUUGUCUGCUUUUUGCUCAGGCCUUGUGAUCUUGUUGAUAUUCGGAGGGACCAAUGGCGACUCUGUGACCCAGACAGAAGGCCCAGUUACCCUCCCUGAGAGGGCAGGUCUGACCUUGAACUGCACUUACCAGAGCAGCUAUUCAGUUUUCAUUUUCUGGUAUGUCCAGUUUCCAAACAAAGCACCCGAGCUCCUGAAAAACUCAUCAGAAAACCUGAAGCCGCACAGCAGAGGUUUUCACGUCAAUCAUGAUAAGAGUGACCGGUCCUUCCACCUGCAGAAACCCUCCGUGGAACUAUCAGACUCGGCUGUGUACUACUGUGCUCUGCAAGACACAGUGGCAUACAUUCCUGAGAAGUGACAUUAACUCUGCUACAUGACAGUUGUUCUUCACAGAAAUAUUUCAGAACCUAUUAAGAAAUUCUAAGGAAAAAAUAGUUCGUGGACUAAGGUAUCACCUGGAUUCUAAUCCCUUGUGUUUACAACUCAGACCAGAGUCGUAUGUCUUGCUGAGUUUCACCUGCACAAACUCCAGCU
Non-coding RNA from Nycticebus coucang (slow loris), 646 nucleotides. The record is from the annotation of a RefSeq genome assembly. Lineage: Eukaryota; Metazoa; Chordata; Mammalia; Primates; Lorisidae.